RNAcentral lists this ribosomal RNA (253 nucleotides) under uncultured bacterium. Its description in RNAcentral is "partial 16S ribosomal RNA". It matches the Rfam family "Bacterial small subunit ribosomal RNA", at positions 524 to 776 of the family's 1533-position model. The record is from RNAcentral.
UACGUAGGGUGCGAGCGUUACUCGGAAUUACUGGGCGUAAAGUGUGCGCAGGCGGCCAAGCAAGUCGAGUGUGAAAGCCCCGGGCUUAACUUGGGAAUUGCGCUCGAAACUACUUUGCUGGAGUGUGGCAGAGGAAGGUGGAAUUCCACGUGUAGCGGUGAAAUGCGUAGAGAUGUGGAGGAAUACCGAUGGCGAAGGCAGCCUCCUGGGCCAACACUGACGCUCAUGCACGAAAGCGUGGGGAGCAAACAGG